UGGGGAAUAUUGGACAAUGGGCGCAAGCCUGAUCCAGCCAUACCGCGUGGGUGAAGAAGGCCUUCGGGUUGUAAAGCCCUUUUGUUGGGAAAGAAAAGCAGCCGGUUAAUACCCGGUUGUUCUGACGGUACCCAAAGAAUAAGCACCGGCUAACUUCGUGCCAGCAGCCGCGGUAAUACGAAGGGUGCAAGCGUUACUCGGAAUUACUGGGCGUAAAGCGUGCGUAGGUGGUUGUUUAAGUCUGUCGUGAAAGCCCUGGGCUCAACCUGGGAAUUGCGAUGGAAACUGGGCGACUAGAGUGUGGCAGAGGAUAGUGGAAUUCCUGGUGUAGCAGUGAAAUGCGUAGAGAUCAGGAGGAACAUCCGUGGCGAAGGCGACUGUCUGGGCCAACACUGACACUGAGGCACGAAAGCGUGGGGAGCAAACA
RNAcentral lists this ribosomal RNA (427 nucleotides) under uncultured bacterium. RNAcentral's name for it is "bacterial SSU rRNA". It matches the Rfam family "Bacterial small subunit ribosomal RNA", at positions 355 to 774 of the family's 1533-position model. The record is from RNAcentral. RNAcentral also lists the same sequence under 1 other name.